UACCUGGUUGAUCCUGCCAGUARUCAUAUGCUGGUCUCAAAGAUUAAGCCAUGCAUGUGUAAUUAUGAAUUAAUCCAAACUGUGAAA
Molecule: ribosomal RNA, 87 nt
Filed under: Angophora woodsiana
Lineage: Eukaryota; Viridiplantae; Streptophyta; Magnoliopsida; Myrtales; Myrtaceae
Description: partial 18S ribosomal RNA
Rfam family: Eukaryotic small subunit ribosomal RNA
Source: RNAcentral